UACAGAGGGUGCAAGCGUUAAUCGGAAUUACUGAGCGUAAAGCGCGCAUAGGUGGUUUGUUAAGUUGGAUGUGAAAGCCCCGGGCUCAACCUGGGAACUGCAUCCAAAACUGGCAAGCUAGAGUACGGUAGAGAAUAAUGGAAUUUCCUGUGUAGCGGUGAAAUGCGUAAAUAUAAGAAGGAACACCAAUAACAAAGGCGACCACCUGGACUGAUACUGACACUGAGGUGCGAAAGCGUGGGGAGCAAACAGG
This 253-nucleotide ribosomal RNA is filed under the name uncultured bacterium. Its description in RNAcentral is "partial 16S ribosomal RNA". It matches the Rfam family "Bacterial small subunit ribosomal RNA", at positions 524 to 776 of the family's 1533-position model. The record is from RNAcentral.